UCCCUCGUGGCGCAAUUGGCUAGCGCGUUCGACUGUUACUUGAAGAAAUUCAAACUCGGACUUAUCGAGAGGUUGGUGGUUCGAGCCCACCCGAGGGAG
Sclerotinia sclerotiorum 1980 UF-70 is the source of this 99-nucleotide non-coding RNA. Lineage: Eukaryota; Fungi; Ascomycota; Leotiomycetes; Helotiales; Sclerotiniaceae. The record is from the annotation of a RefSeq genome assembly.